This 216-nucleotide ribosomal RNA is filed under the name Glomeromycotina sp. RNAcentral's name for it is "partial small subunit ribosomal RNA". The stretch from base 44 to 216 matches the Rfam family "Eukaryotic small subunit ribosomal RNA", at positions 690 to 864 of the family's 1831-position model. Lineage: Eukaryota; Fungi; Glomeromycota. The record is from RNAcentral.
GGGUCAGUAGGUUGGUCGUGCCACCGGUACGUACUGGUCUCACUGAUUCCUCCUUCCUGAAGAACCGUAAUGCCAUUAAUUUGGUGUUGCGGGGAAACAGGACCGUCACUUUGAAAAAAUUAGAGUGUUUAAAGCAAGCUAACGCUUGAAUACAUUAGCAUGGAAUAAUGAAAUAGGACGAUCGAUCCUAUUUUGUUGGUUUCUAGGAUUGACGUA